UUUCCUACAACUGUCGGAUAACGUGUUAGUGGCGGUGGCGCACGCGUCAUUGGAGCUAUAGCUGGAGUCUGUAUCCCAGCUGCGUGUUCAGCCGACAAACCUUCCUCGGUGGAAUUUCUCACGGUUGGCCGUGCUUGCUGUAGAUCACGCUGAACCUGCCGAAUCACUUCAAUACUGCGCAUCAGUUGAGCUUGUGCUAACCCAAUGGAUGCCAUCAUUUCCUGCAGAUUAUUAGCCUGGUUGAAUUCCGAUCUAUCGUCUCCAUUCCCCUGUCGAAAUUCUCGUCUUACGUUCUGAGCGGUCAAACUUGAAAAUGCUGGAGAAAGUAUAGUAUUAUUCAGUUCAUCCGGACUGAUCGAUGCAUCGCUGCCAAUCGAUGGAGCGCUUGACGAUCUGACAAUGCCUCCCGUUCCAGUGUUGGUUUGCAAAGUUGGUGGGUUGUUCGUAGGAACUUGAGUUUGCGUGUUCUGUGCCCCUACCCUUGGCUCGGAAUUAACUGCUUCUUCGUUGUUUUCCAUAUUAUUUGGCUGUAGCUUACUACCACUUCUAGUCAAAACCAUUCCAAAAUUAAUAGUAAACUAAUAACUGUGUUCCUAAGAAAUAUUAAAAAUAAAAACUAAAAAUCAAGAAAACAUAUAUACUAGUAGUAAUGCUUCUACUUCUGUCGAGGUAGGAAAAUAAUGAUGUAUUAAAUAAUAUCAAAAAGUCUUUCAAUAUAUCAUAAGGUAGGAUUCUAGGUGACGGCCAUUAGAAGAGUAGAUGUUACUUUCAGAUUUAAAAGAAAUAAGGUAAACAAAAUAAUUACCUCCUGCAAUCCUGUGCUUUAACUUUUUAUACUGUGGAUAUGGAAAAUCUGGUUUAACAACCUAGUGACAUCGAAAGAAAUCUCGUUGACUAUACUAUGAGUGUUUCUGUCUAAGAAUUGACUCCGGACAACAAAAUUCCUUUCGAAUACAAAAUGAUUGUUAAAAAUGGCUAUUGCAAUGAAAAACUAAUUGGAUGUGACCCAAAAACUCCACACAAUCGUGGCAAUUAAAUGCGUUGUGUUACUAACACUGGCGAUAAGACCUACGAUUAUAUGUAGCCUAAAGGUUUGGUGAUUCAAAAUUAAAUCUCCACCUCACGACCCCGAUUUAGAAAACUUUAGGUCGGGACUGAGAUUUUAACAUUGGACCGUGAUAUUGAAAAUGAAGAAAUAUCGUUCAAAAUGUAUACUAUUUAAACCAAGUGGCAGCCGGGAGGACUCUUUGAGUUACUCAAACGGGACCUACUUGCUUUAAAUAAUAUAUGGCUACAAUUAUUUUUUUGCUUUCAUCUCGGGCCCCACGUUAUGGGCGCCAUUUUGUCACGUACUACCGUCAGUUGAUUUCACAUAAUUCCUGUUUUCUAUCAAACAUCGUCAUUGCUGGCAUGUUGGCUUUUUGCACGGCUAGUGCUCGCCGGAUGGGGGUGGUUCUUGACGACAUUGACUAGGUUGGCAAUACGUUAAACAAAAAAAAAUAUCAUGCCAGACUGAUCAAAAUUAAAAAAAAAAGGGUAUUCCGAGCCCGAGAGAAAUAGUAAACUAUUAAUGACUUUUACCACAGCAUAAAUAAGAAAAAGCAACCAGUUAUAUGGGAAAAAAAUCAUGAAAGUACUCGGCAGGUGUUAAACCGAGCUCUUCCCUCCCACUGGAACACUUGUUCCACCUUGGCAAUCAAAACAUGUUCAUAUUGCCCCCAUACCUACCUCUUCUUUAGCACGUCACCCUCCUAACCUUCAAUUAAAUUUCCUUAUGGAGAAGACAUUUUAAUUCAUAUCCAUCGUUAUAAUUUUAUUUUUAAUUCAAGGUUCUUAAUUUUUAAUACAAAAAAUUGUGGAUAAUUUUAACUUUGAAAUUCACAUUGUUAAAAAGGUUAUUACUAGUGCAAAGAGUUUUUACUAGUGUAAAAUAUUCGAAAAUCGUAAGUAUUAUAAUUUUGAACGUUGUACAUAAUAACGAAACUUAGGUAAGUACCACUUUUGGGUAUUUAUUUAAUAAAUUUAAUAUAAGAUGGCUGCUCUUCUUUCUUUUCCAGGGAUGCUGAACAGAGGUCCUAUUAUGGCGGUGAUUGCUGGCAAUGGAGCUUAUUAUCCGUCAGUUAAUCUCUGGAGUAAAAGCAAAGGGACAACAUUAAGCUUUUGUGUAUGGGAGCAACUAACUCCUGGUGGUUAAUAACCUGUCCUACCUGCCUAGAGAGAGCUCUAUCUAUUCGGAGAGGAUAUGAGAGUAAAAAUUCGAAUAAUAAAGAAAACAAAAGGAAAUGUCUACCCUUAAGGCCACGUAUUUUCUAUACCCUUUUAUUCUAGGUUUAUGGGCAGUCCGUCCGUCGCAAGUAAUUAUCAAUAAGUUUGGAGGUACCUCAGCACCGCGGAAUGCCUGGUGCUCAACAGCGUAUCCAACGAUGGGCAGAGGAGUCGGGAUCGGUGGUCCAAAUAUCGUUAUCGAUGCUGGCAAAGGUGUUUGGUGCUGGAUUACUUCCUUUUGUUCAAAAGUUAUUGAGGUUUUUUUUCUCUUUUCGUGCAAUAAAGGCAAUAAAUAUUUUUAAAAUUUUGUUUUGUGA
Long non-coding RNA from Musca domestica (house fly), 2582 nucleotides. RefSeq lists it as uncharacterized. Lineage: Eukaryota; Metazoa; Arthropoda; Insecta; Diptera; Muscidae. The transcript has 3 exons. The record is from RefSeq and is a predicted model, not a curated record.